RNAcentral lists this ribosomal RNA (460 nucleotides) under uncultured bacterium. Its description in RNAcentral is "partial 16S ribosomal RNA". It matches the Rfam family "Bacterial small subunit ribosomal RNA", at positions 338 to 795 of the family's 1533-position model. The record is from RNAcentral.
CCUACGGGAGGCAGCAGUGAGGAAUAUUGGUCAAUGGGCGCGAGCCUGAACCAGCCAAGUAGCGUGAAGGAUGACUGCCCUACGGGUUGUAAACUUCUUUUAUAAAGGAAUAAAGUGAGCCACGUGUGCCUUUUUGUAUGUACUUUAUGAAUAAGGAUCGGCUAACUCCGUGCCAGCAGCCGCGGUAAUACGGAGGAUCCGAGCGUUAUCCGGAUUUAUUGGGGUUAAAGGGAGCGUAGAUGGGUUGUUAAGUCAGUUGUGAAAGUUUGCGGCUCAACCGUAAAAUUGCAAUUGAUACUGGCAGCCUUGAGUACAGUUGAGGUAGGCGGAAUUCGUGGUGUAGCGGUGAAAUGCUUAGAUAUCACGAAGAACUCCGAUUGCGAAGGCAGCUUACUAAGGUGCCACUGACGUUGAUGCUCGAAAGUGUGGGUAUCAAACAGGAUUAGAUACCCUAGUAGUC